This 492-nucleotide ribosomal RNA is filed under the name uncultured bacterium. RNAcentral's name for it is "partial 16S ribosomal RNA". It matches the Rfam family "Bacterial small subunit ribosomal RNA", at positions 29 to 507 of the family's 1533-position model. The record is from RNAcentral.
AGUGAACGCUGGCGGUAGGCCUAACACAUGCAAGUCGAACGGCAGCACAGUAAGAGCUUGCUCUUACGGGUGGCGAGUGGCGGACGGGUGAGGAAUACAUCGGAAUCUACUUUUUCGUGGGGGAUAACGUAGGGAAACUUACGCUAAUACCGCAUACGACCUACGGGUGAAAGCAGGGGAUCUUCGGACCUUGCGCGAUUGAAUGAGCCGAUGUCGGAUUAGCUAGUUGGCGGGGUAAAGGCCCACCAAGGCGACGAUCCGUAGCUGGUCUGAGAGGAUGAUCAGCCACACUGGAAUUGAGACACGGUCCAGACUCCUACGGGAGGCAGCAGUGGGGAAUAUUGGACAAUGGGCGCAAGCCUGAUCCAGCCAUACCGCGUGGGUGAAGAAGGCCUUCGGGUUGUAAAGCCCUUUUGUUGGGAAAGAAAAGCAGCAGGUUAAUACCCCGCUGUUCUGACGGUGCCCAAAGAAUAAGCACCGGCUAACUUCGUG